RNAcentral lists this long non-coding RNA (2364 nucleotides) under Nicotiana tabacum (common tobacco). Its description in RNAcentral is "long non-coding RNA (NTAB_LNC019230)". Lineage: Eukaryota; Viridiplantae; Streptophyta; Magnoliopsida; Solanales; Solanaceae. The record is from RNAcentral.
UAGAAAGAAGAGAGAGAGAGAGAGAUAUUAUUGAACUUGUGGAGAAGAUAGUUGGAGCAACAUCAGCCCCUUACAAAGUAGUGUGGGUUCCUUUUAUAUAGGAGGGGAACCCGAUUAUAGUACAAUAUGCAUUAAUAGGACGGCUCUGGCAGACUUUACCGUGUGUUUUGGGAACGUCCCCUCCUGCUAUAGCCCUGACCUCCGUCUUCUUUGAGUCGGGCCCGACGAGCCCCGAAGGAGGGGACUCGGUCGCAGAUCCACAUCCUCGGGGUCUUGAGGUAUUCUUCCGAAGUGGCUUGACAGCGAGAAACUAAGUCCUCUGAUUUCGCCGCAUACAGAUAGUCUCCGCGUAUCUCAGAACGAAGCGAUGGGAAAUGAUUCUUACACCUGACUCCACGAGUUCCUUACGGUGAUGUCAUACCAAUUGUCACACCUCCUUUUUACACACCCGAGAGGGGAUAUAAGGGAGUUUUUCCACUUUAAAUGACAUUAUUCGAAAUGGGAUUAUUUAUUCAAAUUAGAGUCGCCACUUGGAAUACUUUAAUUGGUGUCCCAAGUCACCGAUUUAUUUUAAAUCACAACUCGAGGACAUUCGACUUUCCUUUUGAAGUCUACGAACCAAAAAUUCUAAGUAAGGAAUUCUGUUAACUCGGGAGAAGGUGUUAGACAUUCCCGGAUUCCGUGGUUCUAGCACGGUCACUUAAACUAUUAUAAUUGUCCUAUUAUUUGAUUUUAAUACAUGUUUUAGCCUAUGGUAUAUUUUAACUUAUUAACCGCUUUUAAUUAAUUUUAGAAAGAUUUAAUGUUAUCUAAAACAUAUCAUGAACCACGCCACAUAAAAUGCACCCUCGGUCCACGACACAUUUUAUUUAACGUUGUUGAGAAUUGGAAUAGGGUCACAUGAAAUGCAUACCCGAGUUUAAUAAAUAAGGAAAUCAAUUUAAAUAGCGUGCCUAAAGCAGCUACGCACUUUCAAAUUAACAAGAAGGUUUACGAGGGCCAUGAAAAAUUCAACUUAUGGCACACCUCGAUUUCUAAAUAGUUAAAAUUAAUUAAUUGAGGGUCAUGGGAUUGAGAUUUUAUUCGGCAUGGCAUGCCUCGAAUUAUUCUAUUAAAAGGAUUUCUAAAUUUAGUUUUUGAGGGCCAUAAAUUGCACGUUUGACUAAUAUGGCACACCUCAAACUAAUUUAAAGAGUCUAAUUAAUUAAGGAAGUCUUAAAGAAAUUCUAACUAUUUUAGGUUAAUGUUCAAACUUGACUUAAUAAUUAACGGGCUUGUAUGAAAUUGAAGAUAAGCAUUUGGUUGCCUGGAAGGACUAAACCAGCAGCAGGCCUAGCAUUUCUCUUGAGCGUGUAUGUACCCAGAUACAAGGGAGGGACUAGGCUCACGUGAAGCCCAAACCGUGUAAGUGAACAGUAGAAUGGCAUUUUUUACGCAAUUAGGCCAAACGUUGCAGCCCAGUUACACGACUCAGCACUGAUGAAUGAUGCAAACUACAUUUCUUCAUGGAACUCUGGAGAUUUAAAAGACUACUGCCAAACUAUUGCACACUUUAGACAAAUGCAAAGCAUAUUCAUGAUGCCAAAUUCCAUUCUAUAAUUAGACGUAUCCUGAUGCUACAAUAAUUCAUACGCAAUUACCCUUAUCUAAAAAAUAAUUCAUGACUUACAUCCAAAUAGUAACAUGAUUCCCAAACAAAGAAUGCAUUUACUAAUAAGAACCCCAAUUGGAAAUUUCUGAUUUCAAACCUAUACAUAUUAUCUUAACCAAUUCAAGCAAAUCCAUAAAACAAACACUGACCCCAAUAAACUUAAAUAGAUAUGAAGCAAGAAUAUGUAGUUCAGCUUAGAACUUCUGUUACAGUAAUCCCACAGUCCAUACAUGUCCUAAUAACAACUUCUAUAGCUUUAUAAAUUAACAUGCAAAAUUUAAACAGCUCUUCUAUAGACCAGAUUUAAACGAGUAACAUAAAUGAACAAACAGAAUACAGGAAGAUAAAACUAAACUACUACCAAAAUUGAGUGAGUUUAAGAACAUAAAAGGGACAUUUGAUAAACAUAGAGGCCAUAGAUUUCCAAUUUAAUCAAAAGCUGCCAAUCCUUUUAUUUCAACAUGUUAAUGGGGUUCAGUAAGUACCUGGUUACAGUAAUCAAAAACAAGGAAAAUGAGCUUGAAGUUUAAGAGGAAACAACAGCAGUAAGUCAGCAAUGGAACAAUACAGAAUCUGCAGAUCAGCCUCAAACUCUCGACCCAAUUCCAAACAUUUAAACCCAGAUGCACUAUUCUAUUGAACUUUUAGAAAUUCUGACUUAUCAAAAGGAAUUAGAACCAAAAAAACAAGCAAAUUUUGAGCAAUUUUCAGUA